This 224-nucleotide long non-coding RNA is filed under the name Elaeis guineensis (African oil palm). Its description in RNAcentral is "long non-coding RNA (EGUI_LNC050884)". The record is from RNAcentral. Lineage: Eukaryota; Viridiplantae; Streptophyta; Magnoliopsida; Arecales; Arecaceae.
UGGAGACUGGUUGUCGUGGAAGCCCAGAUGGAGACCGCUUAUUGUAGAAGCUCAGAUGGAGAUCGAUUGCCGUGGAAGCCCGGAUGGAGACCGCUUAUUAUAGAAGCUCGGAUGGAGAUCGAUUGCCGUGGAAGCUUGGAUGGAGACCGCUUAUUGUAGAAGCUCGACUGAAGAUCAAUUGCCAUGGAAGCUCGGAUGGAGAUCGCUUAUUGUAGAAGCUCGGC